GGUGGCUCAGUGGUAGAGCGCAUACCUUGUAUGCAUGAGGCCCUGGGUUCGAUCCCUCAGCACCA
RNAcentral lists this transfer RNA (65 nucleotides) under Dipodomys ordii (Ord's kangaroo rat). It matches the Rfam family "tRNA". From Rfam's summary of the family: Transfer RNA (tRNA) molecules are approximately 80 nucleotides in length. Their secondary structure includes four short double-helical elements and three loops (D, anti-codon, and T loops). The record is from Rfam by way of RNAcentral. Lineage: Eukaryota; Metazoa; Chordata; Mammalia; Rodentia; Heteromyidae.